Molecule: long non-coding RNA, 1156 nt
Organism: Pantherophis guttatus
Lineage: Eukaryota; Metazoa; Chordata; Lepidosauria; Squamata; Colubridae
Source: RefSeq, a predicted model, not a curated record
GAAAGAAAUUUAUUUAUUUAUUUAAUUUAUUAUUAUAUUUUUAUACCGCCUUUCUCCCGUAGGACUCAAGGCAGUGUACAGUCAAGAAAAAUAUAGACACACAAACAUCAUAAAAUUGCUAAUUAAAAUUAUUACUUAGUUUGGUCAAUUAAAUAAAACCCAGAAUUAGAUAACAUUUAAAAAAUCAUUCACAUGUUCGUAUGUUUAGCCCCGCCUGUUGGAACAUCAGGGUCUUGAGGGCACGGCAGAAAGCAUGGAGAUCAGGGAUAUUCCGUAUCUCCGGGGGCAGUUCAUUCCAAAGGGUUGGAGCCCCCACAGAGAAGGCCCUCCCCCUGGGAGUCGCCAGUCGACAUAAUUUGACUGACGGUACCCUGAGUAGUCCCUCCCUGUGAGAACGAACUGGUCGGUGGAUUAGAUGGAUUCUGCCUAGAGCUUUUCCUUUUUUAAAUAGAGUGCUGUCUAGUUCUAUGUACAUACUAGAAUUCUUUGAAGUCCUGAAACGGGUAGACUGUUGAAUCAAAACCCCUGGCGUUAAACUUGUUUUCAUGUAAAACCUCAAAAUUCCAACAAAGCUUUACCAUGUCUGGGGGCUUUUCAUUUCAAUAUAUAGUUUGCAUUAGGUCGUAAUAGUUUGUAUUAGGUUCAAUAUAUAGUUUGUAUUUAAUUCUGCAGUGUGGGAGAUAUUUUUAAUGUUAAAUACAACAGUUGCUGCUAUACUUUCAAUAUACUUUUUAAAAGAACUGGGUAUAUUUUUUAUUGAAAGUCUUUAUUGAUAUUUACAGGCAGAAUACUUACAAAAAUAGAGAGGGAAGGAUAUCCUCAUAAUGAGAAUGGGGGAAAUUAUAGAAGACAGUGGCUGAAGAGAGAAAGAGAGCUACCAAAUGCACAAGAGAAAAGAUAUCAGGCCAUCAAGUUGAUGUUGACUUUUAGCAACCAGAUAGAUCUACAGGAUGAGCUGAGACAGUCCAUAAAUUUUAUAGCUAAAACAAGAUUAGCUUGUUAAAGCUUAUGUAUGAAACUUCUUGAAGCCAUGUAUGGAAUCUGCACUUUUCUUUAUUGACUAUACAGUAUAUUGAGCUUCAAUCUUGAACAAAGAAAUAUAUGAAAUUACUGUACACCGUGACAACAAUAAAUUUAAAUUUUCUUGGAAUAUUAA